CUCCUACGGGGCGCAGCAGUGAGGAAUAUUGGUCAAUGGGAGAGAUCCUGAACCAUCCAAUCCUCUUUAUUUACUACUUCCCUAUUGUUUGUAAACCUCUUUUUUCUGAUAACAAAACCCGGGACGUGUCCCGGACUGCGUGUAUCCGAAGAAAAAGCAUCGGCUAACUCCGCGCCAGCAGCCGCGGUAAUACGGAGGAUGCGAGCGUUAUCCGGAUUUAUUGGGUUUAAAGGGUGCGUAGGCGGUCCGUUAAGUCAGCGGUAAAAUUGCGGGGC
RNAcentral lists this ribosomal RNA (275 nucleotides) under uncultured bacterium. RNAcentral describes it as "partial 16S ribosomal RNA". It matches the Rfam family "Bacterial small subunit ribosomal RNA", at positions 336 to 608 of the family's 1533-position model. The record is from RNAcentral.